UCCCCUUUGGUAGAAAGCAAACCCUAAGUACUCUCUUCACUCUCUUUCACUCUCUUCUAGUUCUCUCCAAUCUUCAACGUUCGGCCCCUCCCCUCCGAUCAGACGACGCUGGCGAACGCCGCUCACCCUCUCCUAGACGAAGCCGGCGACUGUAACUCCGAUCAAACCAGACGCACUCGCUCUCCGUUUUGGUUUCCGUUUCAAGUCGAUGCUUCCGGUUCUGCCUGCUAGGACGGAGAUCCUAACUCAACAUUUGCCGAUGCUUCUGAGGAUUACGAUGAGGAAGAGAAUGGGGGUUUUGGGUCAUCUAUGCAGUCUCGUGGGGAAGUUGGUGGAACGUUGUCACUGGAAAAUGUUAGAAGAGAGAUUUUUGGAGCUUUAGUUCCCUGACGAUGGUUACAAUUAUUUGCUGCAUCUUCGGGAGAUUAAGAAUACUGGUGGUGAGAACCCCUAGGCUAAGCUGAAUCAUGUUCCACGCGAUGAGAAGCUGUUGAACCGGGUCUAUGCAUCUAGCGACAGUGAUGGCACUGAUUGUGACGGCCCUGUAUAGCCGAUGAGGACAAGUCCCUUGCCCAAAAGCUCAAUCAUGCUAAACUUAAAUUUUGGAUCUACCAGACUUGGAAAAGGCAAGAGGAAACUAGGGAAGGUGGCUGGAAAUUGUCAACUACUUGAAGGGAUAUAAUGGCUCCAAGGCAAGAUUAAAAUCAAUAUUUUAGAAGAGUAUAGUGGUGCGAAGUAUUGAUCUGCUGGAUGUAUCGAGGAAUAUAGCAUCAUUGAGUAAAUUCUCAAACCCACACUUGAAUAAUCUCAAUAGUUUCUGAAUAUUAACUCGUAGUACAUAUUCUAGGUUUUUUGACAAAUGAAAUAAUUGAUAAAUGUUUGUUAUUUCUAGAAUUCAAUAAAUUGAAUGGUAUACUUGAUUGAUAUAACUUAUACAUUCUUAAAAUUAGAAUAGGAAAUUACUUCCAAGUCAAGUUAUAAAGGUAAACAAAUUUCAACCGUCAAAGCUAACAUAAGAAAAGACAAAAAAGGGGUUCGAAUAAGAAACGAGGACCUAAAGGGUAAUUAAAAGACACUUUUAUAUAACUUUUUUUUGAGAGGAAAUAGAACUUUUCAUUGAUAAAAUGAAGAGAAUAAUGCUUAAAAUUACUAGAAAAUGAUAAUAAUAAAAGAAGAAAGACAACAAUAGAUAAGCGACUGCAACUUAAUACAACUCAAAGAUCAACCAUGAAAGAUAAAAGCUCCCAAUUCAGACAAUAGAGUAGCCAACUAGAUUAAGUUUAAUAUAAUGUAUGCAGAGAUUGGACAAUAAAAGAAUUUUGUCUUGGUGCGUUACAUUGGACUUCAAGUAUUUCAUUGAAGAAAUUUUAUCAUUCUUUAGAUAAAGGACCAUCAAUGUGAAUUAAGUGCUCAAAUAUUACGUUAAGUGAUAUGUCAUAGACAUGGAUAAAGGUAGAUAACAUUGGAUUAAAGUGUGAACUUGGACUACAAGUUCUUUAUUAAACAAAUCUUCUCAUUCUUUGGAAAAAUAUUUGUCAAUUGGACGAUGUGUUUGAGAUAGUUCACUAAGUGAGUUGUUAUGGACACAUAAAGAUUGGAGGAUAACAAUAGACCAUGCAAUUGAACUAAGAAAAGGACUUAUGUGAAGGACUAUCAAGUGGAAUAAUGUAUGUAACGAGAAAGGAAGAUAAGUUGAGAUACAUGAAUUUUGAAUUGAGAAGUGAGAUGGAACUACAAGUUUUUUUAUUAAAGAAGUCCUUUAAUUAUUUGAAAAAAAGAUUAGCCAAUUGGGUUAAGUGUUAAUGUAAGACAUGUGUUGAUCUGCUUUGGUCAUGAAUUUGAAAAAAGAAGAUGGUUUAUGGAAAUAACAUUUAAAAAAGGGUCAUGAAGACUUAUUAAAUGGAAGAAACAUAAGUUAGAAACUAAAAAUUUUGGAUUAAAGUGUGACAUUGAACUUUAAGUUUUCAAUUGAAAAACUUCUCAUUUUUUAGGUAAAGGAUUAAUAAGGUAGAGUAAGUGUGAUUAAGUGAUAGGUCAUGGAUUUGGAUACGGAAAUAUAACACUAAACUACACAAGUUAAAUAGAAACAAAGGAACAUGGAGGACUAUUGGUUGAAUACACAAUAAGAGAAAAAGACUAUCUUAACAAGAAGGAAGAUAGAAUUAGGAUACAUUAAGGUGUGACAUUGAGUGAACUUUAAAUUUUGGAUUAAAGAACUCUUGCUAUUGUUUGGAGAAAGGAUUUUUUAAUUUGGAUUAGUGUGAAGACAACACACCAUGAGUGAGAUUAGCUAAUUAGGUAAGAUCAAAUGGAUAUGUUUAUAGAAAAAAAGCUUUGGCUAUGCAAAUGUAAUUGAAAAAAGGACACAUGGACGCCGCCUAUAAAUGACAUAAAAAGAUAAGUAAGGAUAUACAAGUUUUAGAUGGAAGUGUGCCAUUGGACUCCAAGUUUUAGAUUAAAGAACCCUUGCCAUUGUUUGGAGAAAGGAUUAUCAAAUAGGAUUCAGCGUGAAAACAGUGCACUAAGAGUGAGAUUAGCUCAGUAGAUUAAGAUAUUACUUAAGGGAUUAGGUGAGAUCCCAUGGACAUGUUUAUAGGAAAAAAAUUGGCUAUGCAAAUAUAAUUGGGAAAAGAUGCAUGGACGAAAAUAAAUGACACAACAAGAAAAAGGGUAUAUGAGUUUUGGAUAGAAGUGUGACAUUGGACUUCAUGUUUUAGAUUAAAGAACUCUUGCUAUUGUUUGAAAAAGAAUUACCAAAUUGGAUUAAGUGUUGAGAUAAUGCACUAAGAGACAUCAGCCACUUAGAUUAAAUUUUUACUUAGGGAUUAAAUGAGGUCCAUUGGAUAUGGUUAUAGGAAAAAAAGUUUGCUAUGCAAAUAUAAUUGGAAGAAGAGACAUGACGGACUGCAGACGACACAAAAAGAAAAGUUAGGAUGUGAGAGUUUUGGAUUCAAGUAUGGUAUUGGAUGUCAAGUUUACAUUUGAGUAACUCUGGCCAUUGUUUGUAGAAAUGGUUAUCAAAUUGGAUUUAGUGUUGAUAUAAUGCACUAAGAGUGAUAGCCAAUUUCAUUAAGUUUUUAUUUAACGAAUGAGGUUUUUACCGUGGACAUGGAUAUAGGAAGAAAAAUUUGCUAUACAAAUGACAUUGAAAAAAUACAUAUUGAGGACUAUAGACAGCACACAAAAAAUUAGCAUAUGAGUGUUUCAGAUUGAAAUGUUUCAAGUUUAAGAUUAGAUAAUUUUUGCCAUUGUUUGGAGAAAUGAAUAUUAAAUUUGAUCAAGUGUUAAGAUAUUGCACUAAGAAUGAGAUACACCAAUUAGAUAAAGUUUUUAUUCGAGGAAUGAGGUGUUUUGCCAUAGAGAUGGUUAUAGGAAAAAUGUUUGGUUAUAUGAAUGAAAUUGGAAAAAGACACAUGGAAAGGACUAUAGGCGGUACAAAAAGAAAAGUUAGAAUAUGAGUUUUGAUUUGAAGUGUGGCAACGGACUUCAAGUUUUUGAUUAAUAAGAACUCUUGUAGUUUGGAGAAAUGAUUAUUGAAUUGGAUAAUUCUUAAGAUAGGAAACUUUAAGUUAGUUUAGCCUUUUGAUUUAAGUUUUUCAUUAAGAGAUGCGAUGAUUUGGCAAUAACAUUAUGAAAAGACAUAUGGAAGACUAUAAACGAUACAAAAAGAAAAGUGAGGAUGUGAGAGUUUUGGAAUGCAUUGUGAUAUUGGACUUUAAGUUUAAGAUUAAACAAGUCUUGCUAUUGUUUGGAGAUUCAAAUUGAUUAAUUUUUUAGGUAGUGUACGAAGAUUAAAUUUGUCUAUUGGAUUAAGUUUUUAUUUGAAGGACAUGGUAAUUUACUAUGGACGUUCGCAAAAGAAGUGUAACAUUUUACUUCAAGUAUAAGAAUAAGGAACUUGUUGCCAUCUUUUGGAGAAAAGAUUAUCAAAUUGGAUAAGUGUUGAGGUAGUAGGAAAGGAAAAAAAGAGAAAGUGGAAAGGGGAAAAUACGAAAGUAUGAUAGUGGAAAAAGAAAAUACCAAAAUGAAAAUCAGCUCCUUAUUCCUAAAUUCUUUUAGAUCAAAUUGUCUUUUGGAGAAAGGGUUAUCUAAUUGGAUAAGAGUUGAGGUUGUAGGGAAGGAAGAAAAGAGAAAAUACAAGAAAAUAACAAGUGAGAGCGUAUCGAUGGUUAUUGAUUUGAUUUUUAGCAUAGGAUUGUACAAAAAAAAGUUUGUAUUACCCAUCAUUAAACUAGAGCCGGACUAGGGUAAUGAUGGGUAAUAAAUACUUUUUGGUACCAUCCUCUGCUAAAAACCAAAUCAAUAAUCAUUGAUACGCUCUCACUUGUUAUUUUCUUGUCUUUUAUUUGAGUAUUUUUUUCCCACUUUUUCUUACUUUAACUAGCCAAUUGGAUUAAGUUUUUAUUUAAGAGUACCAGAUUUUUCAUGGACAAGUUAUAGUUAAAAGAAAUUGGCUAUCCAAAUGAAAUUCGAGAAAAUCAAAUAGAGGACUAUAAACGAACCCAUAAAAAAAAUGGAUAUGCAAGUUUUGGAUUAAAGAACUCUUGCCAUUGUUUGGAGAAAAGAUUAUUGAAUUUGAUUAAGUGUUGAGAUAGUGCCCUAAGAGUGGGAUUUGACUACUAGAUUAAGUUUUUAUUUGAGGAAUGUGGUGAAUUGUUGUGGAGAUGAGUAUAGGAAAAAAUGUUUAGCUAUACAAAUGAAAUUUGAAACAGACACAUGGAGGAAUAUAGAUGACACAAAAUGAAAAGUUAGUAUAUAAGGGUUUUGGAUCGAAGUUUGGCAUUGGACUUCAAGUUUUGCAUAAAAUAAAUUCUUGCUAUUUUUUGAGAGAGGAUUAUCCAAUUGGAUUAAGUAUUGAGAUAGUGAACUAAAAGUGAGAUUAUCCAAUUGGAUUAAGUUUUUAUUGAAGAGAUGUGGUGUUUUGUUAUCGAAAUGGUUAUAGAAAAAAUGUUUGGCUAUAUAAAUGAAAUUGAAAAAAGACACAUUGAGGACAAUAGACGACCGAAAAAGAAAAGUAUGGAUUGAGAGGUGUGACAUUGGACUUGAAGUCUUCAAUUAAAGAACUCUUGCAAUUGUUUGUCAAAAGAUUAUCAAAUUGGAUUAUGUGUUGAGAUAGGUGCAUUGGACUCUUAGUUUAGGAUUAAAUGGUUCUUGCCAUUGUUUUUUUUAAUAGACAUGUGGAGGGUAACAUUGACAUUGGACCUUUAGUUUAGGAUUGAAGCCUUUUAGGGGAAUACAAACUAAUGGGUAAACUUAGGCAUCAAGAAGAAAAAAGCCUAAACAAAGGAAGUCAAAAGGAAACGUAACAAACAGAAUAAAGCCUUUCCAAGAUAAAACAAUUGUAGAAAACUAAAAAGAUAGCAAAAACUUGACACCCUCACUUAAGUGGCAUUGGCCUUGGCAUUGACAUUAGAUUUAGCUCUUAGUGAAGUGUGACAUUGAUAUUGGACUUUUAGUUUCGGAUUAAAGCCAUCUUUUUAAUGAUACUAUACGAGACUUAAAGAUCAAAGUAAGUGUAUUGUACUAAAAAGCGAAGGAAAUUGGGGAAUAUAAACUAAAGUGAACUUAGGCAACAAGAAGAAGAGAACCUAAACAAACGAAGUCAAAGAGAAACGUAACAAUCAGAAUAAAGCCUUUCCAAAUCGAAACAUAUGUAGAAAGCUAAAAACAUUGCAAAAAUUUGACAACUCUCUCAAGUGGCAUUGACAUUGGACUUAAAGCUCUUAGUGAAGUGUGACAUUGGCAUUGACAUUGGACUCUUAAUUUAGGAUUAAAGCCUCUUUUAUAAUGAUAAUAUUUGAGGCUUAAAGCUCAAAGUACAAGAGUAUUGUACUAAGGGCAAUGGUACUAGAAGAAUAUAAACUAAAGAGAAAACUUAGGCUACAAGAAGCCUACACAAACGAAGUCAAUGAGAAACGUAAUGAUUAGAACAAAGCCUUUUCAAGACGAAACAAUUGUAGAAAGCUAAAAAGAUAGCAAAAACUUGACAACUCUCUCAAUUGGCAUUGACAUUGGACUUAAAGCUUUGAGUGAAGUGUGUCAUUGGCAUUGGACUCUUAGUUUAGGUUUAAAGCCUAUAUUUUAAUGAUACGAGACCUAAAGCUCAAAGUACAAGAGUAUUAUCCUAAGCGCAAAGGAACUAGGAGAGUACAAACUAAAGUGAAAACUUAGGCAACAAGAAGAACAUAACAAACAGAAUAAAGUCUUUUCAAGAUGAAACAACUAUAGAAGGCUAAAAUGAUAGCAAUAACUUGACAACUCUCUCAAGUGACAUUGACAUUGACAUUGGACUUACAGCUCAAAGUACAAAGGUGUUCAUCUAAGGGCAAAGGUAUUUUUGCGAUAUAAACUAAACUGAAAACCUAGGCAACAAGAAGAAGAAAGUCUAAACAAAUAAAGUUAAAAAGAAACGUAACAAACAAAAUAAAGCCUUUUCAAGACGAAACAACUGUUGAAAGCACAAAAGAUAACAAAAACUUGACAACUCUAUCAAGAGGAGCCCAUUUGAAUAUAACAACUCUCUCCAGUGGCAUUGGACUUAAAGUUCUUAGUGAAGUGUUGCAUUGUCAUUGGACUCUUUGUUUAGGAUUAAAGCCUCUUUUUUAAUGAUAAUAUAUGAGACUUAAAGUUCGAAGUACAAGUGUAUUGUACUAAUAGGAAAGGAACUAUGGGAAUACAAACUAAAGUGAAAACUUAGGCAACAAGAAGAAGAAAAUCAAAACAAUUGUUGAAAACUUAAAAGAACUCGGAUAAAUUGAUUCCAAAAGAACUCCCCCAAAAAAACUUCCCUUUUGACAAGCAAUAAAGAGACCAAAACAUAAAAGUCAUAUCAAGCAAGCUACCAUAAACAAACAAUAAGGCUUAAAUUUGUACGUCGAUGAAACAGAAAUUUGGAUUAAAGAACUCUUGUCAUUGUUUGUAGAAAAGAUUAUCAAAUUGGAUUUAGUGUCGUAAUAGUGCACUAAAGAGUGAUAGCCAACUGGAUUAAGAUAUUUAUCGUGAACAUGGAUAUAAGAAGAAAGUUUGGCUAUACAAAUGACAUUGGAAAAAUGCACAGUAAGGACUAUGAGUGUUUCAUAUUGAAAUGUGGCAUUGGAGUUCAAGUUUAGGAGUUCAAAUCAAAUUGUUACAAUUGGAGAUAGUGCAGUAAGAGUGAGAUAAACCUACUAGAUAAUCUUUUUAUUUGAGGAAUGAGGUGUUUUACCAUGGAGGUGGUGAUAGAAAAAAUCUUGCUAUUGUUUGGAGGGAGGAUUAUCAAAUUGGAUUAAGUUUGAGAUAAUUGGGUUUGAUGUUAAUAUAAUUCACGAAGUGACUAGCCUUGGUCAUGUAUAAGAAAAAAAUGGCCAUAUAAAUGAAAUUGAAAAAAAAAAUCAAAUGGAGGACUAUAGACGCACAAAAAAAAAAGAAUCUAGUUGUAUUAAGGUGUGACAUUGAGUAAACUUCAAAUUUUGGAUUAAAGAACUCUUGCCACUGUUUGGACAAAAGAUUUUUCAAAUUGGAUUAAGUGAAUACAACACACCAAGAGUGAGCUUAGCUAAUUAAAUUAAGUUUUAACUUAAGGGAUUAAGUAAGAUCAAAUUGACAUGUUUAUAGAAAAUUUUUUGUCUAUGCAAGUGUGGCAUUGGACUUCAUGUUUUAGAUUAAAGAACUCUUGCCAUUGUUUGGAAAAAGAAUUACCAAAUUGGAUUAAGUGUUCAGAUAAUGCACUAAGAGAGAUUAGCCUAUUAGAUUAAGUUUUUACUUAGGGAUUAAAUGAGAUCCAUUGGACAUGGUUAUAGGAAAAAAUAUUUGGCUAUGCAAAUAUAAUUGGAAAAAGAGACAUGACGGACUAUAGACGACUUUAAAAGAAAAGUUAGAAUAUGAGAGUUUUGGAUUCAAGUAUGGUAUUGGACGUCAAAGCUAACAUUUGAAUAACUCUUGCCAUUGUUUGUAGAAAUGGUUAUCAAACUGGAUUUAGUGUCGAUAUAGUGCACUAAGAUGUAUAGCCAAUUGGAUUAAGUUUUUAUUUAACGAAUGAGGUUCUUUACCGUGGACAUGGAUAUAGGAAGAAAAGUUUGACUAUACAUAUGACAUUGAAAAAAUAAACAUUGAAAAAAUACAUAUGGAGGACUGUAGACAUCACACCAAAAAUUAGCUUAUGAUUGGAUAAAGGAGUAUUAAAUUUGAUUAAGUGUUGAGAUAUUGCACCAAGAAUGAAAUAAACCUACUAGAUAAAGUUUUUACUGGAUAAAGUUUUUAUUUGAGGGAUGAGGUAUUUUGAAAGACGCAUUGAGAGGAACAAAAAGAAAAGUUAGAAUAUGAGUUUUGAUUUGAAGUGUGGCAACAAACUUCAAGUUUUGGAUUAAUAAAGAACUCUUGUAGUUUGGAGAAAUGAUUAUUAAAUUGGAUAAUUCUUAAGAUAGGGAACUUUAAGUUAGUUUAACCUUUUGAUUUAAGUUUUUCAUUAAGAGAUGCGAUUAUUUGCUUUGGACAUAGGUAUAGGAAAAUAUGUUUUGGCAAUAACAUUAUGAAAAGACACAUGGUGGACUAUAAACGAUACAAAAAGAAAAGUGAGGAUGUGAGAGUUUUGGAAUGCACUGUGAUAUUGGACUUUAAGUUGAAGAUUAAACAAGUUUUGCUAUUGUUUGGAGAACCAAUUAUUCAAAUUGAUUAAUUUUUGAAGUAGUGCACUAAGAUGAAAUUUGUCUAUUGGAUUAAGUUUUUAGUUGAGGGAUGGGGUGAUUCGCUAUGGGCAUGGAAAAAACAUUGGUUGUUCAACUAAAAUUGAAAAAAGACAUAGAGAACUAUUGAUGUUGCAAAAGGAAAAGUUAGGAUAUAAGAGUUUUGGAUUGAAGUGUAACAUUUUACUUCGAGUAUAGGAAUAGGGAACUGGUUGCUAUCUUUUGGAGAAAGGAUUAUCAAAUUGGAUAAGUGUUGAGGCAGUAGGAAAGGAAAAAAAAGAGAGUGGAAAGGGGAAAAUACGAAAGUAAGAUAGUGGAAAAAGAAAAUACCAAAAUGAAAACCAGCUCCUUAUUCCUAAAUUCGUUUAGAUUAAAUUGUCUUUUGGAGAAAGGAUUAUCAAAUUGGAUAAGUGUUGAGGCAGUAGGAAAGGUAAAAAAGAGAAGGUGGAACGGGGAAAAUACAAAAGUAAGAUAGUGGAAAAAGAAAAUACCAAUAUGAAAACCUGCUCCUUGUUCCUAAUUUCGUUUAGAUUAAAUUGUCUUUUGGAGAAAGAAUUAUCAAAUUGGAUAAGAGUUGAGGCAAGAAGGAAGAAAAGAGAGUAGAAAGGUGAAAAAGAAAAUACCAGAAUAAAAUACAAGAAAAUAACAAGAAAGUGAGAGGGCAUCGAUGGUUAUUGAUUUGGUUUUUAGCAUAGGAUUGUACAAAAAAGUCUGUAUUACCCAUCAUUAGGCUAGAGCCGGACUAGGGUAAUAAUGGGUAAUAAAUACUUUUUGGUACCAUCCUCUGCUAAAAACCAAAUCAAUAAUCAUCGUCUUUUCGCUUUUCUUGUCUUUUAUUUGAGUAUUUUUUUUCCACUUUCUUACUUUAACUAGCCAAUUGGAUUAAGUUUUUAUUUAAGGGAUAACUGAUUUUUCAUGGACAAGUUAUAGUAAAGAGAAUUUUGCUAUCCAAAUGAAAUUGGAGAAAAUCAAAUGGGAGAACUAUAAACGGCACAAAAAAAAGUACGGAUAUGCCAUUGGUUGGAGAAAGGAUUAUUGAAUUUGAGUAAGUGUUGAGAUAGUGCCCUAAAAGUGACAUUUGGCUACUAGGUUAAGUUUUUAUUUGACGAAUGAGGUGAAUUGCCGUGGAGAUGGGUAUAAGAAAAAAGGCUUGGCUAUAAAAAUGAAAUUUGAAACAGACACAUGGAGGACUGUGGAUGGCACAAAAUGAGAAGUUAGUAUAUGAGUGUUUUGAAUGGAAGUUUGGCAUUGGACUUCAAGUUUUGCAUAAAAUAGGUUCUUGCUAUUGUUUGGAGAGAGGAUUAUCAAAUUGGAUUAAGUAUUGAGAUAAUGAACUAAAAGUAAGAUUAUUCAAUUGGAUUAAGUUUUUAUCGAAGAGAUAUGGUGUUUCGUCGUCGAAAUGGUUGUAGAAAAAUAUUUGGUUAUAUUAAUGAAAUUGGAAAAAGACACAUUGAGGACAAUAGACGACCCAAAAAGAAAAGUAAUUUGCAAUUGCGUUGGUAUUGGACUUGAAGUCUUGCAAUUGUUUGGAAAAAGUUUAUCAAAUUGGAUUAUGUGUUGAGAUUAAAUGGUUCUUGCCAUCGUUUUUUUUAAUAUACGUGUGGAGUGACAUUGACAUUGAAAUUAAAGCUCUUAGUUAUGUGUGGCAUUGGCAUUGGACCCUUAGUUUAGAAUUGAAGCCUCUCAGGGGAAUACAAACUAACGGGAAAACUUAGGCAUCAAGAAGAAAAAGGCCUAAACAAAGGAAGUCAAAAGGAAACGUAACAAACAGAAUAAAGCUUAUCCAAGACGAAACAACCAUAGAAAACUAAAAAGAUAGCAAAAACUUAACAACCUCUCUCAAGUGGCAUUGGCCUUGGCAUUGACAUUGGACUCUUAGUUUAGGAUUAAAGCCACUUUUUUAAUGAUACUAUACGAGACUUAAAGAUCAAAGUACAAGUGUAUUGUCCUAAAGAGCAAAGGAACUAGGGGAAUAUAAACUAAAGUGAAAACUUAGUCAUCAAGAAGAAGAAAGCCUAAACAAACGAAGUCAAAGAAAAACGUAAAAAACAAAAUAAAGUCUUUCCAAGUCGAAACAUAGGUAGAAGGCUAAAAAGAUAGCAAAAAUUUGAUAACUAUCUCAAGUGGCAUUGACAUUAGAUCUCAAGCUCUUAGUGAAGUGUGGAGUUGGUAUUAGACUCUUAGUUUAGAAUUAAAGCUUUUUUAUUUAAUGAUAAUAAAUUUAAACUUAAAGCUUAAAGUACAAGAGUAUUGUACUAAAAGCAAAAGAAUUAGGGGGAUACAAUUUAAAGUGAUAACUUAUGCAAUAGUGGUUCAUCAACUGAAUGGACUACAAUGGACAUCUAAAGCAUCAUAGUAGAAUAAUUUUGCAAUUAGCAACUAUUCAUUUUAGGUAAUUUGGUAUUUCGUAAUGUUGAGGUAUGGGGUGAGUAGCAUGGGGGAGUUUUUCUAAAAUUGGGUCUUCGUCGCACUGGAAAAGGGAGUUAAGAUAUGUUUCUAGAGGCUCAAAAUGUUGCUACCUCUCGAUCUUGGUUGUCUUAUCAAAUUGCUCCAUUUCCUUACUACUAACGCUGAAAGGAGAAUCAAAACAAGACUCCCCUUUUUUCGAGAGGGAUGGAUAGGGGUUUUGCUUGGGGAGUUCUUUUGAAAGUAGUAAGUAUUCUUAAUGCUUUAUGCUCUUUGUAUAACUUUCAUGUUUGUUGGAGCAUUAUUCUCUUUCGUUUUACAUCUAAAUGAAUAAAGACACUUAUUUCUUUUAAAAAAACGAAGCUCGAAUGGUCGAGUGUCUACUUGAAGUCGCUGCAGGGUCCUGACCAAUUUGCAAUUGCGUUAAGAAACCAGUUUAGAUAAGAGCAUCUGAGACAACUAGAGAACACUGAGCUUCCACAUCUUCCACGUGAAAGCAUUCAUUAUCCAACCUACUCUUAAUCUGAACAAGGAAAAGGACGGAGAUAAGAUUAGCAUUUUUUUCAGUUACAUGUUUUUUUAUUAUAGAAGUCUUUUCAUUUCUUGAAAUAAGAUUAGCCAAUUGGGUUUAGUGUUGAUAUAAUUCACGAAGUGAUUAGCCUUGGUCAUGGAUAAGAGAAAAAAAUAGCUAUACAUAUGAAAUUGGAAAAAAAACAAAUGGAGGGGGACUAUAGACGACACAAAAAGAAAAGUUGGGAUUAAAGAGUUUUGUAUUAAAGUUUGGCAUUGUGAGACUUUAAGUUUUGGAUUAAAGAAUUCUUGUCAUUGUUUGGAGAAAAGAUUAUCAAAUUGGAUUAAGUGUGGAAAUAAUAUACUAAGAGUGAGAUUAGCUAAUUAAAUUAAGUUUUUACUUAAGCGAUUAGGUGAAAUUCCAUGGACAUUGUUGUAGAAAAAAAAGUUUGGAAAAAGACACAUCAACGACCAUAGACAACACAAAAAGAAAGGUAAGGAUAUGCGUGUUUUGGAUAAAAAUGUGGCAUGGGAUCAAACCCUAAGUUUUGGAAUAAAUAACUCUUGGCAUUUUUGGUAGAAAUGAUUAUCAAAUUGGAUUCAAUGUCUAUUAGUGCACUAAGAAUGAGAUCAAUCAAUUGAAUAAAGUUUGCAUUUAACGAAUGCGAUUAUUUACCGUGGACAUGGUUAUAGGAACUAAAGUUUGGCUAUAUUGAUGUCAGAAGACUAAGGGUUAGUUGGGUAAUUAGGUAAUAUUCUAGGUUAGUUCCCUUUUUACCCAAAUUGUAAUAUAAAUAGGAGUCUACUCCUCUUGUAUGAAGCAUAUUAUUCAUUUUAAUUAAAGAUCCACAAUCUUGGUUCUUGGAGGAUUUCUCAUUGAGUUUGCUUGGGUUGAAUCAUAUACAAAUGACAUUGGAAAUGUAGACGUUAAGGACUAUAGACGUUAAGGACCGUAAACAUGGCAUUAGAGUACAAGUUUAUGAUUAAAUAAUUUGGUUCAUUGUUUGGAGAAAAGAUUAUUAAAUUUGAUCAACUGUUGAGAUAGUGCACUAAGAGAAACAAGCCUAUUGGAUAAAGUUUUUAUUUAAGGAAUGAGGUGUUUUGCCAUGGAGAUGGUUAUAGGAAAAAUUGUUUGGCUAUACAAAUGAAAUUAGGUGUACACAUGAAGGAUUAUAGGCGGCAUAAAAAGAAAAGUUAAUAUAUGAGUGUUUUUAAUUGAGAUAGUGUGACAUAAGAUAAUUGGAUUAAAUUUUUGUGUUUGGGAUUAGGUGAUUUCUUAUUGACAUGAUUAUUGGAAAAAAAAAGCUGGCUAUGCAAUUACAAGUGGUAAAAAGACGCAUGGAAAACUAUUGACGACAUACAAAAAAAAAGUAAGGACACAUGAGUUUUGGAUUGAAGAGCGGUAUUAGACUUCAAGUUUUGGAUUAAAGAUCUCUUGUUGUUUGGAGAAAGGAUUAUUAAAUUUGAUAAGUAAUAAAAUAGUGCACUAUUAGUUGGUUUAAGCCAUUUGGAUUAAGUUUUUCUUUAAGGGAUAAGGUGAUUUGCUUUUGAACAUGGAUAUAGGAAAAAAUGUUUGGCAAUAACAUUGCGAAAAGACACAUGGAGGACUAUAGACGACACAAACUGGAAAGUUAGAAUAUGAGAGUUUAGGAAUGAAAUGUGACAUUGGACUUAAAGUUUGGGAUUAAAUAACUCUUGUCAUUGUUUGGGAAAUUAAUUAAUCGUUGAGAUAGUGCACUAAGAUGAAAUUUGUCUAUUGGACUAGGUUUUUAUUUGAGAGAUGAUGUGAUUUGCUAUGGUCAUGGAUAUAGGAAAACACAUUGGCUGUAUAAAUAGAAUUGGAAAUAGACACAUAAAGGAUAGUAGACAAUGUAGAUGGGAGUUUUGGAUUGAAGUGCGGCAUAUUACUUCAAGUUUAGGAAUCAAUUGGUUAUCUUUUGGAGAAAGGCUUAUCAAAUUGGAUUAGUGUUGAGAGGCAAUAGGAAAGAAAGAAAAGAGAAAGUGGAAAGAGGAACAUACCAAUGGAAGAAAGUGGAAAAAGAAAAUACGAAAAUAAAAGACCAAAAAAAUGAAAAGGUGAUGAUAGUUAUUGAUUUGGUUUUUAGCAGAGGAUGGUACCAAAAAGUUUGUAUUACCCAUCAUUACCCUAGAGCCGGACUAGGGUAAUGAUGGGUAAUAAAUACUUUUUGGUAAAAUCAUUUUCUAAAAACCAAAUCAAUAACCAUCACUGCUUUCUCACCUUUUUUGUGUUUUCUUGUCUUUUAUUUUGGUAUUUAAUUUUUUCACUUCUUACUUUGACUAAGAGUGAGUUUACCCAAUUGGAUUAAGUUUUUAUUUAAGAAAUGACGUCAUUUGUUGUGGUCAAGUAUAUAGUAAAGAAAGUUUGGUUACACAAAUGAAAUUUUAAACAGACACAUAGAUGACUAGAGACGGCACAAGGUAAGUUCUUGUCAUUGUUUGGAGAAAGGAUUAUCAAAUUGGAUUAAGUAUUGAGAUAAUGCAUUAAAAGCGAGGUUAUUCAAUUGAAUUAAGUUUUUAUUUAUGUGAUUGGUUGUUUAUUCGUUGAAACGGAUAUAGGAAAGAAAAUGUUUGGCUAUACAAAUGAAAUUAGAAAUAUAUGACUUCAAUUCUUGGAUUAAAGAACACUUGCAAUUGUUUGUUUGGAUAAAGCAUUAUCAAAUUGGAUUUAGCAAUCACGUCGAGAAAGUAGUUCAGGUGGGGGCAUUUGAGACAAUUGGAGAACACUGGGCUUCGACAUCUUCCACGUGAAAUAGUUUAUUAUCCAACCAAACACGAAAAUGCAAAUGAAGAAUUUUACAGUUUGGUACUUCCAUUAAAUGUAGAUAGACUGUAGAAGACUCUAGACAAAAAACAGGAGGUGAGGCCGGAGAAUAUAAGAGGAAAGAAAGAGACGUCGGAGAAAUCACUGGAAAGGAGUGGAAAUUCAAAAGAGAAGAUGACGGAAGGAUGGAGGCAAGAGGAGAGAGGAGACUACAUACUUACUGCUUAGGUCUAUUUAUUACAUAAUCAACUUUCUCAUUCUAGGUUAACUUGCCAUCGUUUGGAGAGGAUUAUUAAAUUUGAUCAAGUGCACUAGGGGUGAGUUUAUCUUACGAGGUGAUUUGUCGUGGACAUGGAUAUAAGAAAAAAUGUUUGGUUCUACAAAUAACAUUGGAAAAAGACGCAUGGAGGAUAUGAAAGUCUUGGAUUUAAGUGUUACAUUUGGAUUUCAAGUUUAAAAUUAAAUAACUUUUGUGAUUAUUUAAAGAAAUGAUUAUUAAAUUUAAGAAAGCAUUGAGAUAGUGCACUAAGAGUGACGUUAGCCUACUGGAUAAGUUUUUAUUCGAGGCAUGAGGUUAUUUGCCAUUGAUAUGGAUAUAAGAAAAAGAGUUUGGCUAUAAAGAUGACGUUGGAAAAAGAUUCAUGAAGAGCUAUAUAGAAUACAUAAAAAGAAAAGUUAGAAGUUUUGAAUUGUUUAACGAAAGGAUUACCAAAUUGGGUUAGCUUUGGAAUGGUGGACUAUAAGAGUGAGAUUAGCUAUUCGAUUAACAUUUUUCAUAGGAGAUUAGGUGAUUUCCCAUGGCCAUGAUUAUAGGAAAAGAAAAGAUUGGCUAUACAAAAGUAAUUGGUAAAAAGAGACAGAGGAUUGUAAAUGACAGAAAAAGGAAAUUAAGGAUAGGAUAUUCGAGAUUCGAAUUGAAGUGUGGCAUUGGUGUUCAAAUUUUGGAAUGAAGAACUCUCGCGAAUGUUUGACGAAAGGAUUAUCACAAUGGAUUAAGUGUUAAGAUAGUGCAUGAAGAGUAAGAUUAGGUAGUUGGAUUAAGUUUUUAUUCAUGGAAUGAACUUAUUUGCAGUGAACAGGGAUAUAGGAGAAAAAGGUUUGGCUAUAUCAGUAACACUGGAAAAGACACAUGGAGGACUAUAGACAGCACAAAAAGAAAAGUUAGGAAUUAAGAGUUUUGGAUUUGAGUGUAGCUUUGGAAUUCAAAUUUUGGAUUAAAGAACUCUAGCCAAUUGUUUGGAGAAAUAAUUAUCAAAUUUAAUUAGUGUUGAGAUAAUGCACUAAGAGUAAGAGUAGCCAAUUAGAUUAAGUUUUCUCAAGUGUUGUGGUGAUUUGCUGUAUACUUAGAUAUAAGGAAAAAGGUCUUGCUAUGUGGACAAAGUUGGUAAAAGACACAUGUAGGACUAUAGACAGCAGAAAAAGAAAAACUAGGAUAUGAGAGUUUGGUUUGAAGUGUGUGAUUUUACUUCAAGGUUUGAAUUAAUGAACUCUUGCAAUUGUUUAUCUAUAUUAAGUUUUUAUUUAACGAAUUUGGUGAUUUUCCAUGGACAUGGUUAUUGGAAAAAAAGGGUUGCUAUACUAAUGUAAUUGGUAAAAAGAACAUGGAGGACUAAAAACAGCUCAAAUAGAGAAGUAUUUGAGUUUUGGAUUGAAUUGUGGCAUUGUACUUUAACUUUUGGAAUGAAGAGCCAAUGUUUGGAGAAAAUAUUAUGACAAUGGAGAAGUAUGAGAGUUUUGGAUUAAGCUUUUGUGAGAUCUCCUCUCCUCUUUGGAUGCUCCGUUGUGCCUAAGGUGAGUUAUUGAUUAACUUUUGAUGCACCUCUCUAAUCUGUUUAGACUGCCUAAGAUCGUGUGACGAAUCUUAUAAUUUCUUGUUCUCCUAUGUGUGUAAGGAAGAAGAUUACAUGAGCUGAAGUUGGUAAAUGAACUUUUGAAAAAUGAACUUUUGAAUGUUUGGAGAAAUGGCAUCAAUGCUGUGAUUUUUCUUUUAUUUUAUUCUGUUGAUCAUUUUGCUUGAAACCUAGAAUCAAGAAAAUCAGAGAAAGGAGAGGAGAAAUUUGAGGAAAAGGAGAAUAUUUUCUGAUUUUGCUCUUUGUCUUGAAGGGUCUUUAAAAAGGGGCAAGCAACAAAUAGCUAUAGCUACAAGCAAACCAGCACACAUGUGGCAUACAGUCAUUGAUUUGACAUAUAACAGCAAGAAUGACAAUCAGAUGGAAACUUUAGCACUCUUACUGUGCUGGCUUAACAUUACUUUAUAAUUUAUGCGGGAGCUUUUUCUUUGCUUGAUACAGGGAUGUAAAACUAAGGUUAACUUGAGGAAACAUAAUUCGCUCUGUCCAGAAAGAAUAGAAAGGUUGGUGGAAAAGGCUUCUAAAAAUAGAAGAAAAACCUCCUCCACAGUUGAAGGUUGGCUGGAACAAAUAGUUUAUAAAUAUUUGUUAAACUUUAUGUGGAGUAUUCAUUCAUAGAAUCCAAUAAAUUGUAUUGUAUACUUGCUCCCAAGUUAACCUAUAAAGGUAAACAAAUUUCAACCAUCAAAGCUACAUAAAUGUUAAAGUUGGUGUAUACAACACCCAAAAACGUGGCAAAUUUUUUGUAUUACCUGUUUUCUGUUAGUCGAAACUUUGAACAUGUAGGGGAUGAGGAAUCUCUUGAACUCGAAGGUGAUAUUGAAGGAGGGUUAGUUCUAAGACGAAAAAUAUACAUUCCGAAGGAAGAUGCAAAGAUACUGAAGAGUAACUCCAGCGUUGUAGCUGUCAAAUUAGGUGCUGGUUCUGGUGGAUUCUCAAGGUUGGUCUAGAGUCCAUCCAAUGUUUAACCUUUUACAUCCAUCAGAAUCGUUUAUUUCAUUCACGUCCAUCGACGGAUCUGUGCAUGAAUUCUGGCCUGAGUCAGGGGAGCAGUAUUUGGAGGGAGACGUUUUACCAAAUGGUGAAUGGAAGCUAUUGAUAAAUGUUUGGGAUGGGCAUUAGUCAACAAAUUAGACAUUAAGGAGGUUCACAAAUUUCUCAUCCACUGGGGAACUAGAACGGUCAACCUCGAGCUAUGGUCGGAACAUAGACCAGUGUCCAAGGAAAAACCACUCCAAAUUUCACAGAGUUACGAAGUGAUCAACUUCAUUGAUUGUUGCAAUGAGAAGAAUUGCUUUUCAGAAUUUGCAAAAUAAGUUUAAAGCUAUUGAGCUUUAACACUAUUUUGUGUUCUUUAUCAGUGUUCCAAUCCUAAGUCCAUGGUUUGUUCUAACAAAUCAUUUUGUUAUUACCUAAACCUAUUACCUAAACCACUGAACAUGCCAACUACGAACAGUUUGUCAAAUAAAGGUUGCUUAGAAUAUCAUUCUACCCCUAAGUUAAAUUUAAUUUUGAGUUUCAUUUGA
Cucumis melo (muskmelon) is the source of this 17734-nucleotide long non-coding RNA. RefSeq lists it as uncharacterized. The transcript is spliced from 8 exons. NCBI's taxonomy places the organism in Eukaryota, Viridiplantae, Streptophyta, Magnoliopsida, Cucurbitales, Cucurbitaceae. The record is from RefSeq and is a predicted model, not a curated record.